Molecule: long non-coding RNA, 566 nt
Filed under: Phoenix dactylifera (date palm)
Lineage: Eukaryota; Viridiplantae; Streptophyta; Magnoliopsida; Arecales; Arecaceae
Description: long non-coding RNA (PDAC_LNC021417)
Source: RNAcentral
AAAAAAUUAAAUUAGACAUAGAAAAAGAUUGAUUAUCAAUUAAUUGAACUUGAAAAACUCAAAAAAAAAUUGGGCAUGCCGGAAAAAAGUGUACCAUAUGUCGGUACGGUACCGAACCGGUACCGUAUCGACCCAUCCACCGACUGGUUCAGGUUCUAGUAUUGAUUUGACGAAUCUUGCUUUAAACCUUAUAAUAUUUCAUAAAUCAGAAGGCAGUUUAUCUCCAUUAUCAUUAAAAUAUAGAAAAAAAUAUUUGAGGACUUGUGGCUUAUGUACAUUGUCAUUAAGAAUAUUGGUAAAUUAUCUGACAAUUUGGUAUCACCAUUGGUUCUCAUCCGGCAUAUAUUAGAUGGUUUGGGGGAAACACUUGAGAACAUAUAGAAGCCCAUAAAUUUGGUUCAACAUGCAUAGGGCUUGAAGAAAUAAAUCACUGUUGCAUUUUAAGACAUAAAAGUCAAUGCUGCAAGAAUGAAAAGCUAUAAAAGAGAUUGGGAGAAAAAGAAAAUCUGUAAAAGAACACUUCUUUGCUGUUUACUCAAACAUUUAUAUAUUCUACCUAUAUGCUA